GGUGUUUUUUGCAACACAUUUAGAGAUUUUGAUUGGGCAAACCUGCAAAGGAAGUUAUAAAUAAUUUAUUACAAGUUGGAGCCUAAGAAUUGGGUUAGUCAAGAGGGAGGCUUAAAUUAUGUUCCAGCUGGACUGAGAUGGUCCAUCAUUCAGAAGUGCAAAGUAUAUGCUCCACCAUGCACCUUUUUAUGAAGAACGGAAUACAAAGAAGGCAGCAAGGAGAGUGGUGUAUAGUUCCCGCCUCCAUCUUUUGGGCAGUGGAGGCUCAAGGGCGAUGUGGCCACUGUAUCUGCAAGUUGCAAUUCUUUUUCACCUGACUAGAAAGAAGGGGAAGUAGUUCCAUGCAUGGUCAAUGACUUUGGGCUAUAUGUGGAAAAGGUAUUUUCAUAGGAUGAUUUGCUGGUUCUCCAUAUCCAGGUUUUUUCCUGUGUAAAUGCUUAUGUGGAUCCUCCUUUCUCCCUUUAUAGGUGCCCAUCCAUCUUGGUGCUGCUGCAUGCUCCUUUCUAUCCAGGCCUCUUG
Molecule: long non-coding RNA, 519 nt
Organism: Lolium rigidum
Lineage: Eukaryota; Viridiplantae; Streptophyta; Magnoliopsida; Poales; Poaceae
Exons: 4
Source: RefSeq, a predicted model, not a curated record